Molecule: non-coding RNA, 367 nt
Organism: Paenibacillus bovis
Lineage: Bacteria; Bacillati; Bacillota; Bacilli; Caryophanales; Paenibacillaceae
Rfam family: transfer-messenger RNA
About the family: Bacterial tmRNA, also known as 10Sa RNA or SsrA, is named for its dual tRNA and mRNA-like properties. Its role is to liberate the mRNA from a stalled ribosome.
Source: Rfam
GGGGGCGUUUUUUGGAUUCGACGGGGGUAGGUCGGGCAUGAGUAGCGGGUAGUGGGGACGCGUCCGCUUUAUCAACGCUAAAGCCUAUUAAACGGCAAACAACAAACUAACUACGCUUUCGCAGCCUAAGAAACUGUGAAACGUGCUCUCGCCUCGCAUCGCCCAUGUGCCAGGAUGAGGGCCCAACUCUUAGUGGGCUACGCUGUCACAUCUCCGCCUGGGGUGUGCUGAAGAAGAUAAUCAGGCUGACCCAACGUAGAGCCGGUUACAGGGCGCUACUCGGGUGACAUUAAAUCUGUGACUACACCCGUAGAAGCUUGUGUUGCGUUAUCUUCGGACAGGGGUUCGACUCCCCUCGCCUCCAUAU